This is a long non-coding RNA of Plectropomus leopardus (leopard coralgrouper), 423 nucleotides long. RefSeq lists it as uncharacterized. NCBI's taxonomy places the organism in Eukaryota, Metazoa, Chordata, Actinopteri, Perciformes, Serranidae. The record is from RefSeq and is a predicted model, not a curated record.
GAAAAGAGGAAGACAAGAGGAUUGACAGACCAACAUCAGGAGUUUUAUCAAACAGGCAAGGAGGAAUCUAUUGUUAGUGCUCGUGACCACACGGCCCGGCUCUCCAGGAUCAGAGGCUUUUAGGAAGGCUCGGCGGUCAUGAGUGACAGGUCGAGGAGAUGGAGGAUGAUGUGAGAUUUUAUGUGUUCGCGACCAACAGACGACAGAGGAUGUUGUUUUUUUGGCGGGCCAUCACUGCGUUUCCAGGAUUCAGGAUUGUGCCGCCAAAACCAGGAGCGCUGAAGUAUGGCUGAGUUUUGCUGCAGAGAUAACUUCUCCUGAACACCCCGUCCCCUCCUCUCGUCCUCCACUUCAGCAUCAAUGCAUCGUUGAAGGGCUGGGCUUGUGCUCUCUUUUCCAGUCCCCCCAUAAUUUUUACCCACA